UGGGUAACCUGCCUCAAAGAGGGGAAUAGCCUCCCGAAAGGGAGAUUAAUACCGCAUAAUAUGUUUAAGUCGCAUGACUUUAACAUCAAAGGAUUUUCUUUAGAAAUUCCACUUUGAGAUGGACCCGCGGCGCAUUAGCUAGUUGGUGAGGUAACGGCUCACCAAGGCAACGAUGCGUAGCCGACCUGAGAGGGUGAUCGGCCANAUUGGAACUGAGCACGGUCCAGACUCCUAGGGACGG
This 241-nucleotide ribosomal RNA is filed under the name uncultured bacterium. RNAcentral describes it as "partial 16S ribosomal RNA". It matches the Rfam family "Bacterial small subunit ribosomal RNA", at positions 118 to 348 of the family's 1533-position model. The record is from RNAcentral.